Molecule: ribosomal RNA, 453 nt
Filed under: uncultured eubacterium A7-K1
Lineage: Bacteria
Description: bacterial SSU rRNA
Rfam family: Bacterial small subunit ribosomal RNA
Source: RNAcentral
GACGAACGCUGGCGGCGUGCUUAACACAUGCAAGUCGAACGGUAAGGCUCCAGCUUGCUGGGGUACACGAGUGGCGAACGGGUGAGUAACACGUGGGCGACCUGCCCUGCACUUCGGGAUAAGCCUGGGAAACUGGGUCUAAUACCGGAUAGGACCGCACCGUGAGGGUGUGGUGGAAAGUUUUUUCGGUGUGGGAUGGGCCCGCGGCCUAUCAGCUUGUUGGUGGGGUAAUGGCCUACCAAGGCGGCGACGGGUAGCCGGCCUGAGAGGGUGGACGGCCACAUUGGGACUGAGACACGGCCCAGACUCCUACGGGAGGCAGCAGUGGGGAAUAUUGCACAAUGGGCGGAAGCCUGAUGCAGCGACGCCGCGUGGGGGAUGACGGCCUUCGGGUUGUAAACUCCUUUCACCAUCGACGAAGGGUUUCUGACGGUAGAUGGAGAAGAAGCACCG